RNAcentral lists this ribosomal RNA (600 nucleotides) under Staphylococcus pasteuri. Its description in RNAcentral is "bacterial SSU rRNA". It matches the Rfam family "Bacterial small subunit ribosomal RNA", at positions 39 to 619 of the family's 1533-position model. Lineage: Bacteria; Bacillati; Bacillota; Bacilli; Caryophanales; Staphylococcaceae. The record is from RNAcentral.
GGGCCGGCUAUCCUGUACAUGCAAGUCGAGCGAACAGAUAAGGAGCUUGCUCCUUUGACGUUAGCGGCGGACGGGUGAGUAACACGUGGAUAACCUGACUAUAAGACUGGGAUAACUUCGGGAAACCGGAGCUAAUACCGGAUAACAUUUUGAACCGCAUGGUUCAAUAGUGAAAGGCGGCUUUGCUGUCACUUAUAGAUGGAUCCGCGCCGUAUUAGCUAGUUGGUAAGGUAACGGCUUACCAAGGCAACGAUACGUAGCCGACCUGAGAGGGUGAUCGGCCACACUGGAACUGAGACACGGUCCAGACUCCUACGGGAGGCAGCAGUAGGGAAUCUUCCGCAAUGGGCGAAAGCCUGACGGAGCAACGCCGCGUGAGUGAUGAAGGUCUUCGGAUCGUAAAACUCUGUUAUCAGGGAAGAACAAAUGUGUAAGUAACUGUGCACGUCUUGACGGUACCUGAUCAGAAAGCCACGGCUAACUACGUGCCAGCAGCCGCGGUAAUACGUAGGUGGCAAGCGUUAUCCGGAAUUAUUGGGCGUAAAGCGCGCGUAGGCGGUUUUUUAAGUCUGAUGUGAAAGCCCACGGCUCAACCGUGGA